Molecule: ribosomal RNA, 501 nt
Filed under: uncultured bacterium
Lineage: Bacteria
Description: bacterial SSU rRNA
Rfam family: Bacterial small subunit ribosomal RNA
Source: RNAcentral
GACGAACGCUGGCGGCGUGGAUUAGGCAUGCAAGUCGAACGGUAUCAUCCUUUCGGGGGUGAGAGAGUGGCGAACUGGUGAGUAACACGUAGGUUAUCUACCCUCAAGACGGGGACAACCCAGGGAAACUUGGGCUAAUACCGGAUGUGAGCAACUUUUAGUUGUUUGAAAGGUGGCGUAAGCUGUCGCUUGGGGAUGAGCCUGCGUCCUAUUAGUUAGUUGGUGAGGUAACGGCUCACCUAGGCAAUGAUAGGUAGGCGGCCUUAACGGGUGGUCGCCCACACUGGGAUUGAGAUACGGCCCAGACUCCUACGGGAGGCAGCAGUCGAGAAUAGUCUACAAUGGUCGGAAGACUGAUAGUGCGACGCCGCGUGAACGAUGAAUCCCUUCGGGGUGUAAAGUUCUUUUAUAUGUGAGCAGUGCUUCUUAUAUUAACAGUAUGGGGAGAGAGAUAUUAGCAUAUGAAUAAGCAACGGCUAACUCCGUGCCAGCAGCCACGGU